This 1171-nucleotide long non-coding RNA is filed under the name Dromaius novaehollandiae (emu). RNAcentral describes it as "lncRNA (ENSDNVG00000017986.1)". Lineage: Eukaryota; Metazoa; Chordata; Aves; Casuariiformes; Dromaiidae. The record is from RNAcentral.
ACCUUAAAGUUGCUGGAAGUUGACAGCCUGCAUCCGGGACGGAGCUGGGAGUCGGGGCUCUUUCCCAGCCCGCUCCUCCGGCGCCUCUCUCGCUCCCUUCCCGGCCACUGCUCCGUUUUAGUCCUGAGGAGGCAGCGAGCUGGCUCGGUUUGGGAAUCCUCGUGUACACCCCUCCCUUCUCCUCCGCGGGCUGAAUCAGCUUCUUUUACACCACCGGCAGCUGGACUGUGGCAGGGGCAGGUCUGCUUCUCUGCAGCUGAGAUGAGCUAAGUAGUUGCCUCCAUGUCCUUCCUCUAACCAUCUGAUAGUUUUAUGUGGUGACAUGAGCAGAAAAGACCCCUGUAGAGGCGCUUCAUUAAUGUGCCACUUCUUCGCUAUCAUAUGACAAUCGCCUUGGGAGGAGGGGGAGGGGAGCGGGGCGGAGGGGGCUGGAGAGAAAGGCAUAAUCUGGUUUCAUUUACACCUAUUUACAUGGACACCUUGGGCCAAUAGGAAUCAUUUCCAUUUGAAGACAAGGMGAGGGGUGAAAAGGCUCCGCAAGCGGAAUUGCAGUGCGAUGAAAGAAAAAAAAAACCGCUGGCGCAAAUGGGAACCCGUAAGCUGUAAAGUUAAAGAAAAGUCGACUUCCGUUGUCAUUUGCUGCUCCGAGUGCAAAUGAGGAUUUGUCGAAGCCAUGCUCAUCUCACUGCUGCUUUCUCCCACAGUCUGCUCUUGUCUUGCUGUUUGGCACAAAACAAGAAAGAAAAAACAAACCGAGGGUAAGGUCCCCCUUUCCCUGUGGCCGGAAUUGCAGAAUACCUAAGGAAUGUAGAUCUUUCCCGAAUUGCCUGUCUGAGACGCCGGGCAAAACCACCUUUAAAACACUAAGUUAUUACUAAACCAAACAUUGUGAAAUGGUUUUUAUGAUAAUUGACAGUGAUUUUAAGCUGCAUCUCCCCAAGAAUAAUGGCUUGCAUGUCACCGUUAUUUCCCCUCUUUAAAACCAAAGGUAAUAACCGUUUGAGGAAGUCGGACUAAUGCAAACUUUAAGGGAAACGUUUUCCCCCACUGUGUGAAGCCUUUAACGAGCUGGGAUUUAAUUAGGGUCCGAACUUUGAGUGCGUGUGUUUUUUCCCUGUUGGCAGGGGGCAUGUUGGCAAGCAGAUCUUUAACCUACAGCAGUAAAACCGGG